RNAcentral lists this transfer RNA (71 nucleotides) under Loxodonta africana (African savanna elephant). It matches the Rfam family "tRNA". Rfam says of the family: Transfer RNA (tRNA) molecules are approximately 80 nucleotides in length. Their secondary structure includes four short double-helical elements and three loops (D, anti-codon, and T loops). Lineage: Eukaryota; Metazoa; Chordata; Mammalia; Proboscidea; Elephantidae. The record is from Rfam by way of RNAcentral.
AUAUUGGUGGCUCAGUGGUAGAACUUUUGCCUUCCAUGCGGAAGACUUUGGUUCAAUUCCCAUCCAGUGCA